ACACAUCUUCUUAUUUCUGUAUUAAAGUGUUCAUGUGUUCAAUUUUAAGAACCUUCUUCAAUUGGUCUGCACUAAACAACUAAUGUAAACGAUAAAUAUUUAUUAUCAACAACCUUGAUAUCAACAAUAUUAAACAGAACUUUAAUAGUUUUGAAUAAUCAAACAGUGCCCAAGUCGUAAAUACACAACUAAUCGUGUAUUGAAAUAAGCCCC
Molecule: long non-coding RNA, 213 nt
Filed under: Mytilus galloprovincialis (Mediterranean mussel)
Lineage: Eukaryota; Metazoa; Mollusca; Bivalvia; Mytilida; Mytilidae
Source: RNAcentral